Molecule: ribosomal RNA, 495 nt
Filed under: uncultured bacterium
Lineage: Bacteria
Description: partial 16S ribosomal RNA
Rfam family: Bacterial small subunit ribosomal RNA
Source: RNAcentral
GAUGAACGCUGGCGGCGUGCCUAAUACAUGCAAGUAGAACGCUGAAGGAGGAGCUUGCUUCUCUGGAUGAGUUGCGAACGGGUGAGUAACGCGUAGGUAACCUGCCUGGUAGCGGGGGAUAACUAUUGGAAACGAUAGCUAAUACCGCAUAAGAGUAGAUGUUGCAUGACAUUUGCUUAAAAGGUGCAAUUGCAUCACUACCAGAUGGACCUGCGUUGUAUUAGCUAGUUGGUGGGGUAACGGCUUACCAAGGCGACGAUACAUAGCCGACCUGAGAGGGUGAUCGGCCACACUGGGACUGAGACACGGCCCAGACUCCUACGGGAGGCAGCAGUAGGGAAUCUUCGGCAAUGGACGGAAGUCUGACCGAGCAACGCCGCGUGAGUGAAGAAGGUUUUCGGAUCGUAAAGCUCUGUUGUAAGAGAAGAACGAGUGUGAGAGUGGAAAGUUCACACUGUGACGGUAUCUUACCAGAAAGGGACGGCUAACUACGUG